This 2093-nucleotide long non-coding RNA is filed under the name Phoenix dactylifera (date palm). RNAcentral describes it as "long non-coding RNA (PDAC_LNC000608)". Lineage: Eukaryota; Viridiplantae; Streptophyta; Magnoliopsida; Arecales; Arecaceae. The record is from RNAcentral.
AACAAUUAAGUAGACCAUGAUAGAAGGUAUUUUGUUAAGUCACGCACUUAAAACACGUAAAACAUGGGAAAAAAAUCAGAUCAGGAAGAACAAAUCCAGAUGGAAUUGAGAUGCAUCUGGAUAUAAUAAAGAACUCAAGCAAGAAACUUCAUGGAAAGUUUACAAAAGCAGUGCAUGGUGAGUCAGCCUAUGACUGACCACACAUAGUCAAACAAACCAGAAUCCAAGGUGUUGGAUUUUGGAACCAAUCAAGAAGAAAGGUGAUAAAAAAAACACAGCAAAUUAGUCACAAGUCUAGUUGAACUGUUAAAGAUUGCAAGGAAACAGAACAUUUAUCUGCAAGAAAGAGGUAAUAUUUCUCUGCAAUCUCUAUAAGAGACAUUUGGAUUUACCAACAACCCCUAAAUCAAGAAACCACAGAUGAUGAUUGAACCAAAAGACAGGUUGAAAGAUUCAAGAAAACAGAUAAACCCUGCAAUUCAAAAGGAGUUGAUUGUGAAAAGGCACCUACUUCUCAAUCCAGACGGCAUCAUCUAUGGGUGGGAAAGGAAAGAAUGUUAAUAUCAUGAAAACUAACAGACUGAUAAACUGCCUGGCAAAGUUAAUUUUCUUAGAAAAUCCAGUUUUUCAUUUGUUUGUUCCAAGAGAAACUUAACAAAUUUGAAACUUUCAUCCCGAAUAUCUGAAAAACCAACGGAAAAAAGUGGUAGUUUCCGUUUUCCUUUUCCCUAUAUCUAAUUGCUACCGAACAAACCCUAAAAAGGAAAAUAAUUAAUUGCAGUUCCCGAAAGAAAAGAGAAAAGUGCCCCUUUCCAACCGUCUAAAACGAUACAGAGAUAAGAAGACAUAUGGCAGUUACGGACUGUCUAAAAGACGAAUUAAAUUAAUGAAAGCCAAACAUGGAGCCCCAACGGACAUGAAUCACUCGAUUUAAUAUUCAAAAUCCGAAUUUUUUUGUUUUUUUCUAGAAAGAAAGCUCGAAAAAAGAAGGAUCUUAAGAAAGGAAGUAUUGCACAAAAAAAAAAAAAAAAACUGGAACCAGCGUGAAAAAAAAUGUCAAGAGAACCCCAAACCAGCGAACCCCUAAUAAUGAGGCCAACGGAUGAAAGAAACCGUAACCAUAUACUCCGAGAAAACCACCGAUUAAGAUCUUAUACCAAGCAAGACCGAAAAUUUCAUCAAGAUCCAAUUCUUUUAGAAGCCCAAAAUCCCCAGAUGAAACUAAUUAAUCUAUAAAGAAAGACAAGGAAAACAAAAAAAAAUAAUGUUCAAAUCAGCAUACCUGAAUGGGAGAGAGGCUGCCUUGGAUGAACUGAUCGAGGGUCUGGUUCUUCGCCUGCAAACGCUGGCAGACCUUGCUGUCCUGGAGGCAGCUCCGGAUCUUGGCCCAGUUUUUGCCGUUGUUGACCCUCUUCUGAAGCCAGUUGGAGUAGUCCCCGAGGCGGUACUCCUUGUAACCCCGGCCAGAGACGACCUCACCGGCGCCCUUGUUGGUGACAACGAAGGCGAAGACGGUGAAGCAGAAGAGGAGGACGAUGAGGAGGAACAUGCAGAAGAGGUAAACCCAGAGGAGCCAGGAGACGCGGCAGCAGGCGCCGACGAGCCCCGCGAGAGAGACGACCAUCAAGAACACGCCGACGGCGAUCACCGGCCCCUGGAGAAACUUCUCGCAGUCGGUGCUCCCCCUCGUCGCCAGCCAUAUCCCGCUGCCGAGGAUCGGGAUCGACAGGAGGAACGUCAAAAAGUUCAGGAUCCCGAUCAGGUUGUUGCUCAGCCGAAACAUCUUCUUGAUUUCUUCUUCACCUUGGGCCUAUACACACCGCGGAGGACCAGAACUCAAAGGUAGAGUUGGGGAGAGGGAGAGGAGCGGAAAUGAGGAAUGCGUUGAAAGGGCGAGAGACAAGCGUAGGCAUAAAUAGCGACCGGGGAGUCGGUAGCGUGAGUGUGUAAUUGGGGAAGGCCGCGUGGGAGUUCAAACAGGAAACAGCGAACCGCGUGACGCAACGCGUACAUCAGUUUCCAGGCAAUGGAUGUCGUGGACCUCGUGGUCGAACGGAUAAGUUAAGCCUUUGGAUGAGUUUUUUUUUUUUUUU